RNAcentral lists this ribosomal RNA (723 nucleotides) under uncultured Fusobacterium sp. RNAcentral's name for it is "bacterial SSU rRNA". It matches the Rfam family "Bacterial small subunit ribosomal RNA", at positions 28 to 776 of the family's 1533-position model. Lineage: Bacteria; Fusobacteriati; Fusobacteriota; Fusobacteriia; Fusobacteriales; Fusobacteriaceae. The record is from RNAcentral.
GAUGAACGCUGACAGAAUACUUAACACUGCAAGUCGACUCGAGUCUUCGGACUUGGGUGGCGGACGGGUGAGUAACGCGUAAAGAACUUGCCUCAUAGUCUGGGACAACAUCUGGAAACGGAUGCUAAUACCGGAUAUUAUGCUUUCUUCGCAUGGAGGAAGUAUGAAAGCUAUAUGCGCUAUGAGAGAGCUUUGCGUCCCAUUAGCUAGUUGGUGAGGUAACGGCCCACCAAGGCGAUGAUGGGUAGCCGGCCUGAGAGGGUGAACGGCCACAAGGGGACUGAGACACGGCCCUUACUCCUACGGGAGGCAGCAGUGGGGAAUAUUGGACAAUGGACCAAAAGUCUGAUCCAGCAAUUCUGUGUGCACGAUGACGUUUUUCGGAAUGUAAAGUGCUUUCAGCCGGGAAGAAGCAAGUGACGGUACCGACAGAAGAAGCGACGGCUAAAUACGUGCCAGCAGCCGCGGUAAUACGUAUGUCGCAAGCGUUAUCCGGAUUUAUUGGGCGUAAAGCGCGUCUAGGCGGCAAGGAAAGUCUGAUGUGAAAAUGCGGGGCUCAACUCCGUAUUGCGUUGGAAACUGCCUUACUAGAGUACUGGAGAGGUAGGCGGAACUACAAGUGUAGAGGUGAAAUUCGUAGAUAUUUGUAGGAAUGCCGAUGGGGAAGCCAGCCUACUGGACAGAUACUGACGCUAAAGCGCGAAAGCGUGGGUAGCAAACAGG